Molecule: ribosomal RNA, 468 nt
Filed under: uncultured bacterium
Lineage: Bacteria
Description: partial 16S ribosomal RNA
Rfam family: Bacterial small subunit ribosomal RNA
Source: RNAcentral
GACGAACGCUGGCGGCGUGCUUAACACAUGCAAGUCGAACGGAAAGGCUCUGCUUUUGUGGGGUGCUCGAGUGGCGAACGGGUGAGUAACACGUGAGUAACCUGCCCUUGACUUUGGGAUAACUUCAGGAAACUGGGGCUAAUACCGGAUAGGAGCUCCUGCUGCAUGGUGGGGGUUGGAAAGUUUCGGCGGUUGGGGAUGGACUCGCGGCUUAUCAGCUUGUUGGUGGGGCAGUGGCUUACCAAGGCUUUGACGGGUAGCCGGCCUGAGAGGGUGACCGGCCACAUUGGGACUGAGAUACGGCCCAGACUCCUACGGGAGGCAGCAGUGGGGAAUAUUGCACAAUGGGCGGAAGCCUGAUGCAGCAACGCCGCGUGCGGGAUGACGGCCUUCGGGUUGUAAACCGCUUUCGCCUGUGACGAAGCGUGAGUGACGGUAAUGGGUAAAGAAGCACCGGCUAACUACGUG